Long non-coding RNA from Lutra lutra (Eurasian river otter), 503 nucleotides. RefSeq lists it as uncharacterized. The record is from RefSeq and is a predicted model, not a curated record. Lineage: Eukaryota; Metazoa; Chordata; Mammalia; Carnivora; Mustelidae. The transcript has 3 exons.
UCUGAUUCCUGAUUCUCUGUGUAUUACAUAUUGUUUUCUUCUCCUGGAGGCUUUUCCUUGUCUUCAGUCUUCUGAAGUUUCUUGUGGCUGUGCCUUGGUGUGACUCUAUCUCCCUUUGACCUGACAAAGAUGACUGCUAACAGUAUCCUUGGUCCUCCCUGACCUCCCACUGCCCUGGUUGUUACCCGCUGAUCCUUUCCUGUGUCCCACACUGCCUUCCACACCCUCCUCCAUCAGGAAGCCUUCCUGGAAUCAGGAAGCAUUUUGCAGAGAAUUCCCAGUCUCUCAGGCCAUCACCACUUCCCUCUGUAUACUCUUCAGCGCACUCUCCUCGUCUACACGCACAUUUCCACUUUCUUCCUGAACGGUUCUACGUGCCACUGAGGCAGAGGGAUCUACUCACCUCCAAGAUCCAGGAAAAGUGACUUCGGCAUCUGCCCCCUUCCCAGGGGCAGCGUGUCUCCUGUUGCAGCAGCUUGCUGUGUGGACUCCCGCAAGUCAUU